CAGCAGCCGCGGUAAGGCGAACCGUGCAAACGUUACUCGGAAUCACUGGGCUUAAAGCGCACGUAGGCGGCGACAUAAGUUAGAGGUGAAAUCCCAUCGGCUCAACCGUGGAACUGCCUCUAAUACUGUGUUGCUUGAGGGAGAACGGGGCAUUCGGAACUUCCGGUGGAGCGGUGAAAUGUGUUGAUAUCGGAAGGAACGCCGGUGGCGAAAGCGGAAUGCUGGGUCCCUUCUGACGCUGAGGUGCGAAAGCUAGGGUAGCGAACGGGAUUAGAUACCCCAGUAGUCCCUGUCUCUUAUA
Molecule: ribosomal RNA, 301 nt
Filed under: uncultured bacterium
Lineage: Bacteria
Description: partial 16S ribosomal RNA
Rfam family: Bacterial small subunit ribosomal RNA
Source: RNAcentral